This 404-nucleotide ribosomal RNA is filed under the name uncultured bacterium. RNAcentral describes it as "partial 16S ribosomal RNA". It matches the Rfam family "Bacterial small subunit ribosomal RNA", at positions 28 to 526 of the family's 1533-position model. The record is from RNAcentral.
GACGAACGCUGGCGGCGUGCCUAAUACAUGCAAGUCGAACGCACUGGGGACGAGUGAUUAACACGUGGGUAACCUCCCAUCAGAGGGGAUAACACUUGGAAACAAGUGCUAAAACCGAUACUGGUUGAGGGACUCGCUGUGCAUUAGCUAGUUGGUGGGGUAACGGCUCACCAAGGCCACGAUGCAUAGCGUACCUGAGAGGGUGUUCGGCCACACUGGGACUGAGACACGGCCCAGACUCCUACGGGAGGCAGCAGUGGGGAAUAUUCGGCAAUGGGCGAAAGCCUGACAGAGCAACGCCGCGUGAAUGAAGAAGGUUUUCGGAUCGUAAAACUCUUUUGUUAGAGAAGCGGUAUCUGACCAGAAAGCAACGGCUAACUACGUGCCAGCAGCCGCGGUAAUAC